Molecule: ribosomal RNA, 434 nt
Filed under: uncultured Lachnospiraceae bacterium
Lineage: Bacteria; Bacillati; Bacillota; Clostridia; Lachnospirales; Lachnospiraceae
Description: bacterial SSU rRNA
Rfam family: Bacterial small subunit ribosomal RNA
Source: RNAcentral
ACGGAAGGCAGCAGUGGGGGAUAUUGCACAAUGGGGGAAACCCUGAUGCAGCGACGCCGCGUGAGUGAUGAAGUAUUUCGGUAUGUAAAGCUCUAUCAGCAGGAAAGAUAAUGACGGUACCUGACUAAGAAGCACCGGCUAAAUACGUGCCAGCAGCCGCGGUAAUACGUAUGGUGCAAGCGUUAUCCGGAUUUACUGGGUGUAAAGGGAGCGCAGACGGCAUGGCAAGCCAGAUGUGAAAGGCAGGGGCCCAACUCCUGGACUGCAUUUGGAACUGUCAAGCUAGAGUAUCGGAGAGGUAAGUGGAAUUCCUAGUGUAGCGGUGAAAUGCGUAGAUAUUAGGAGGAACACCAGUGGCGAAGGCGGCUUACUGGACGAUAACUGACGUUGAGGCUCGAAAGCGUGGGGAGCAAACAGGAUUAGAUACCCUGGUA